This 247-nucleotide ribosomal RNA is filed under the name uncultured bacterium. RNAcentral describes it as "partial 16S ribosomal RNA". It matches the Rfam family "Bacterial small subunit ribosomal RNA", at positions 69 to 334 of the family's 1533-position model. The record is from RNAcentral.
CGAAGGUGGCUUCGGCCACCGGAGAGCGGCGGACGGGUGAGUAACGCGUGGGAACGUGCCUUUCGGUUCGGGAUAACCCAGGGAAACUUGGGCUAAUACCGGAUACGCCCUUCGGGGGAAAGAUUCAUUGCCGAAAGAUCGGCCCGCGUCGGAUUAGCUAGUUGGUGGGGUAAUGGCCUACCAAGGCGACGAUCCGUAGCUGGUCUGAGAGGAUGACCAGCCACACUGGGACUGAGACACGGCCCAG